This 143-nucleotide ribosomal RNA is filed under the name uncultured eukaryote. RNAcentral's name for it is "partial small subunit ribosomal RNA". It matches the Rfam family "Bacterial small subunit ribosomal RNA", at positions 1383 to 1525 of the family's 1533-position model. The record is from RNAcentral.
GUACACACCGCCCGUCACACCAUGGGAGUGGGUUGCACCAGAAGCCGGUAGUCUAACCGCGAGGAGGGCGCUUGCCACGGUGAGAUUCAUGACUGGGGUGAAGUCGUAACAAGGUAGCCGUAGGUGAACCUGCAGAAGGAUCA